Molecule: ribosomal RNA, 465 nt
Filed under: uncultured bacterium
Lineage: Bacteria
Description: partial 16S ribosomal RNA
Rfam family: Bacterial small subunit ribosomal RNA
Source: RNAcentral
CCUACGGGAGGCAGCAGUGGGGAAUUUUGGACAAUGGGCGCAAGCCUGAUCCAGCUAUUCCGCGUGUGGGAUGACGGCCCUCGGGUUGUAAACCACUUUAGUAGAGAACGAAAAGGAGCUCUCGAAUAAAUAGCUCUGCUGACGGUCCUCUAAGAAUAAGCACCGGAUAACUACGUGCCAGCAGCCGCGGUAAUACGUAGGGGGCGAGCGUUAAUCGGAUGUACUGGGUGGAAAGGGGGUGCAGGCGGCCAUGCAAGACAGGGGUGAAAGCCCCGGGCUUAACCCGGGAACUGCCUUUGUAACUGCAUGGCUGGAGUGCGGGAGGGGCAGGCGGAAUUCCGGGUGUAGCGGUGAAAUGCGUAGAUAUGAGGAGGAACACCGGCGGCGAAGGCGGCCUGCUGGAACGCGACUGACGUUGAGGCUCGAAAGCGUGGGGAGCGAACAGGAUUAGAUACCCCAGUAGUC